AUGGCCGAAAUUCGGCCAUCUCAGCCUCGGGCAAAAAAAAUCUCAAACCGAAAAUCAAAACACAGGCCGUGGCUGCGCACGACCAACGGCUACUUGGGCCGCCAGGUGUGGGAGUUCGACGCCGCCGUGGAGCCCGACCCCGAGGAGGUCGACGCCGUUGAGGCCGCGCGCCAGGGGUUCGUCGCGCGGAGGCACCAGCUCAAGCACAGCGCCGACCUCGUCAUGCGAAACCAGUUUGCUAAAGCAAAUCCUCUUGAGCUGGACCUUCCUGCUGUCAAGCUGGAAGAGCAUGAAGAUGUUACUGAGGAAGUUGUAUCUACUACUUUGAAAAGGGCCAUCAGUCGCCUUUCUACUCUCCAGGCACAUGAUGGACACUGGCCGGGGGAUUAUGGUGGUCCAAUGUUCCUUAUGCCAGGCUUGAUUAUAACCUUGUAUGUGACUGGAGCACUGAACACUGUCUUAUCAUCAGAACAUCAGAUUGAGAUCCGCCGGUAUCUCUAUAAUCAUCAGAACGGAGAUGGAGGCUGGGGUUUGCACAUUGAGGGACCAAGCACCAUGUUUGGUUCAGCCUUGACCUAUGUCAGUUUGAGAUUGCUUGGAGAGCGAACAGAUAGUGGAUAUGGAGCUAUGGAGAAAGGUCGAAAUUGGAUUCUAGACCAUGGAGGAGCAACGUUUGUAACAUCAUGGGGAAAAUUUCGGCUCUCGGUACUUGGUGUAUUUGAUUGGUCUGGUAACAACCCAGUGCCACCAGAAGCAUGGUUGCUACCAUAUUGCCUGCCAUUUCAUCCAGGGCGAAUGUGGUGUCACUGUCGAAUGGUGUAUUUGCCAAUGUGUUACAUUUAUGGAAAGAGAUUUGUCGGACAAGUUACGCCACUUGUUUUGGAAUUGAGAAAGGAACUUUACAAAGGCCCCUAUAAUGAGAUUGAUUGGGACAAGACUCGCAAUCAAUGUGCUAAGGAAGACUUGUACUAUCCGCAUCCAUUCGUUCAAGAUAUCUUAUGGGCCACUCUCCAUAAAUUUGUUGAACCACUUAUGAUGCAUUGGCCUGCGAGCAAACUGAGGGAGAAAGCUUUGGAAACUGCCAUGAAGCACAUUCACUAUGAAGAUGAGAACACUCGAUACAUUUGCAUUGGUCCUGUAAACAAGGUAAUGAAUAUGCUUGCGUGCUGGAUUGAAGAUCAGAACUCAGAGGCAUUCAAACUCCAUAUUCCACGAGUCUAUGAUUACUUGUGGAUUGCUGAAGAUGGCAUGAAGAUGCAGGGUUAUAAUGGCAGCCAACUUUGGGACACAGCUUUCACUGUUCAAGCCAUUGUAGCUACCAAUCUUAUUGAAGAGUUUGGGCCCACCCUUAAACUAGCACAUGAAUACAUUAAGAAUUCACAGGUUCUUGAUGACUCUCCUGGAGAGCAGAAAGACUGGUACCGGCACAUAUCUAAAGGCGCAUGGUCAUACUCUACGGCUGAUAGUUGGCCUAUAUCGGACUGCACUGCAGAAGGACUAAAGGCCUCAUUAUUGUUAGCGAAGAUUUCUCCACAAGUUGUAGGAGAUCCUCUGGAAGAUAAUAGGCUUUAUGAUGCUCUCAAUUGUUUGAUGUCUUAUAUGAAUGAUAAUGGCGGUUUUGCAUCAUAUGAACUCACAAGGGCUUAUACGUGGCUGGAGAUUAUUAAUCCCUCUGAGACCUUUGGGGACAUUGUGACUGAUUACCCGUAUGUUGAAUGUACAUCAGCAGCAAUCCAAGCUUUGACAUUAUUCAGAAAGUUCUACCCUGGGCACCUCAGGAAAGAGGUGGACAACUGUAUCAGCAAAGCUGCUAAUUUCAUUGAGUCUAUUCAAAAAAGUGACGGUUCAUGGUAUGGUUCUUGGGCUGUUUGUUUCACCUACGGCACUUGGUUUGGAGUGAAGGGAUUAACUGCUGUUGGUAGGACAUUCAAGAAUAGUCCUGCAAUCAGAAAGGCUUGUGAAUUUCUGCUGUCAAAAGAGCUUCCUUCCGGUGGUUGGGGAGAAAGCUAUCUAUCAUCUCAAGACCAGGUUUACACCAAUCUUGAAGGAAAACGUGCUCAUGCAGUGAACACUAGUUGGGCCAUGCUGGCCCUAAUUGAUGCUGGACAGGCUGCAAGAGAUCCAUCGCCUCUACAUCGAGCAGCCAAGGUUUUGAUCAACUUGCAAUCAGUGGAUGGAGAAUUUCCUCAGCAAGAGAUAAUAGGAGUGUUCAACAAAAACUGCACCAUCAGUAACUCCCAGUACAGGAAUAUCUUUCCAAUUUGGGCUCUGGGAGAGUACCGGUGCCGAGUCUUGGCCCCUGGCAAUUACUCCCUCCGUUCCUAA
Molecule: ribosomal RNA, 2325 nt
Filed under: Triticum aestivum (bread wheat)
Lineage: Eukaryota; Viridiplantae; Streptophyta; Magnoliopsida; Poales; Poaceae
Description: partial small subunit ribosomal RNA
Source: RNAcentral